RNAcentral lists this long non-coding RNA (1549 nucleotides) under Panax ginseng (ginseng). Its description in RNAcentral is "long non-coding RNA (PGIN_LNC011928)". Lineage: Eukaryota; Viridiplantae; Streptophyta; Magnoliopsida; Apiales; Araliaceae. The record is from RNAcentral.
UAAACGUUUAGAAAAUUGGAGCAUUGGGUUUAUGUGGCCUUGAGUAGGGAAAGGGAUGACUAGAAUAUGAGCUUUACUCUCCGGUUAUUCUCUUUCUCUCCUCCUAGUAGGAGGGAGUAAUAUUUGCAGAAUAGGAGAACCAUUAUAUAUACUAGCAUCAUGUGACACGCAUUGCAUAUCUAAUUACCACGAAGAUUAAAUAUACCCAUUACGAAUCUAAUUAGUGGGAGGAUAAAAUAAAAAUAGUACUCCCUCCGUUCCUUAAUAUAGAUCGUUUUAGACAUGUGCACAAGAAUUAAGGAAAUGAUUGAAAAGCAUUAACUAUAGUAUCAAUUGUCUAUAAUACCAUUCACCUCACUUAUCUCAUAAAUAUGGAUCAAAAGAUUAGGUGGAGUAAUAAGGGGCAAUUUGGAAAAAAUAGUAAUCAAUUCUCCUAGAUAACCACAAACGACAAAUAAUUAGGAAUAAAAAAAAAGUCUACAACGACUUACAUAUAGGAAUGGAGGGAGGAGUACUAAAUUUGGAGGACAAAAUAAUAAAAUAGCAAAAAAGUUAAAGUUAGGGAGGAUAAAAUAGGAAUAUAUCUACACUUACGGGGACAAAAAAUGAAAUAACUAUUUGUGACCCAAAAUAAAUAAUGGUAGUUGUAUUUCCUUUGUGGUAUCUUUAGUUAUCAUCCUGCAUGUACUUGGUUAAAUAAGCAGCUGAAAACAGUCUCACUUGUAUGUUUAUUUGGUACUUUGAACAACUGUAAUACUGCAAUAUAAAAUCUUAGUUUGAAAUUAGGUCAAUGGUGGUAGUUGGAAAUUUUGUUUAUUGGAAACAUUGGUAUUAAUUUCCUAUAUGUUCUUUCAUGCAUGCAUCCCUCCAAGGGCGGAGCCAAAAAUUUUUUUCCUUCUGGGCUACCAAGUGCCAUUUAGAUUUCCCGAAUAAUAACAAAUCAGUGCAGGCUAAACACACCCCCCAACUUGCUCAAAAACUAACUUUUCCCUCUCUUAGGACUUUUAUCGAACACCUUGAGGGCGUGACUCCGGUGUGAACCGAGACUAUACCCAUACCGUCCUCGAAGAAAGAGAUGAUGAAGUGGUUGUUGAGGUCGUCCCAUUUGGUGCUCCUUGAGCCAGUCAGUGCUGUGAAUUUGGAACAUGUGGGAGGUUGAUUUGACUAUUUCAAGGGAUAUGAGGAUGCCUAUUGGGACGGCUGUGAAGAGUAAUAUGAGUAAGAAAAACUUGAUAGAGUAGAAGAAAGCCAUGGAUAUAUAUAUAUAGAGAAAAAAAAACAGAGAAUAUGUAUUUAGAGAAAGAAACAGGAAAUGGGUACUUAAUUAGAGAAAGAAACAGGAAGUAGGUAUUUAGAGAGAGAAAGUAUGGCUACUACCAGAAAGUUUUCAUCUAGUUAGUGGAGGGAGGAGAGAGAUACAAUUAACAGGUGAGACAUAGGUGGAAAGAGGAGGGAAACCUAGAAUCUUACCCGGGCUAUAGCCCACCUCAGCCCAAACGUGGCUCCGCCCUUGUGUCCCUCUCACUUGAUAUUUUAGGGCAUUUCUUAA